UGUUCUGAAUACCACUGACCAUCUGUGUUUUCUAAAUCAGUAUCACAAAUAGACUAUCCAGUUCCCUGUAUAGCAACUUUCUUCUAUGCAUCCUAGCACAGUUCCCUCCUGUCUUUGUCUCUGUCUGUCUAGGGACCUGAGCUGAGGACUAAACAGCAUCCUGCCCUGGCUCCCUCCCUCACAUACACACAUAUUAAGUCUUUAAUCAUGACUUGAAGACAUACCUACUUCUGCUACUGCCUCACGCCCAUCUUGUCUCUUCUACUCUCAACUCCCAGUUCUCUGUUGCUCCCUUCUUUGUUUUAAAGACAAACCUCAACUACAAUUUUCCAUUGCUUUUGCAAUGAAGACUAAGAAUCUAUCAUCUGUCCCAUUCCCUGAGACUGUGCCAACCACGUGUCCUCCAGGAUCUACUUGUACUCAAGUUUAGUUACCAUGGAUCUUCCCACCUCACCAUCUCCAGGAUGCUUUUCAAGAGCCUGCACAUUGUCCAUUUCCUUUCCCAUGAUGUAAAGUUGAUUUUCUCAGCGUCCUUUACCAGCAGUCUAACCUUAAGCAGCCUACAUGAUUCAGACCCUUGGCACCAUGUUACCAUGUUCAUUUUACUUAACAGCGUUUCAGUUGACUAUUAUAAUCUUUCUGCCUAGACUAUAAUCUACUAAGAGCAGAGACUGUGUGAGUAUUAAUUUUUAAUGACUAUUCUUAGCAUGCAAAUGAUAACCCACAUAUCUGUUGAAUGAAUGAUCUAUAAACAUUUAUAAACUGCACAAGACUCUCAUUUAAUGAGUUUAUAUUCAAAGAAUUCUGGUUACCUCUAGACAGUUUUAUGAAAGGCUAAAGAUGUAAUGAGACAUGUAAUAAUAAUUUAAUAAAGAUAAAAGGCUAGUGGCAUAAUUACUUCAAAAACAUCUGGGUCAUGAAAACGCAAAAUAAUCCAGGAAGUCUUAAUUUAUUUUAUGCUAUUCUAGAACUCCUGGAAAAUUCAGGAUAAAAAGAAAUAUAUUGUCUCUCUAUAUUGAGAGGGAAAGAUAUCUUUAGAAGUAGUUAUCACUUGAAAACCUCAGGAGAAUAACCCCAAAAUUCAGGUUUAAUAGAUGUUAAUGAGUUACCUAUGAGCCUAUAAAUCUCCACUUCUUACAUUCUAAUAGUAAUAGCAAUUAAAAACAUAAACAUUAAAAAAAAAAAGUUAUACAGCAGCCUUUGGAUCACAACAGCUGUGAAAACCUGUAACCUCCAAAGGAGAAAUAAUAGGUUUUAGAACUGUCUUAUUCCCAGAAAACUGCAACUGUAUGACUGUUGUGGGAAAUAUUAAAAAAUGAACCCACCAACUCUCUGAGCUCCUGCCUGCCUGCCAACUCUCUGUCCACACUGGACCACAGGGCUCCCACCGGGCCAUCUCUCCAGUGCCCUCUCACCCCCAGUUCCUCUUGCUACCACACACCCCAUGGUCAGCCAACACAUCAAAAUGCGCAGUACCCCGGUAGAAUCAAGACUCUUAAUGCUUAAUUAACCAAUCAGAUUUAUGUAUCAAUAAUAUCACAAUUUACAAGAUGCCAAUUAAAUAAUUUCAGAGCCAAUUGAUAAUGAUAAAAGCUUUAUCCCAAUAUUUCUAACCUUGUGAAAUCAUAGCUACUUGUAACUAGAAAAUGCCACAGGGGUACACGUCCACAGCCAUCUUGGUUCUCCCCCUACUCUGAGAUGCUCUCUGUCUCUGCCACUCUUAGCUCUGCCUCCCUUUUCCCUGUCCAAUCACAGGCCUCCCACUGCCCUAAUGUGAUUGGACAGGAAAAAUCCUGCAACAGAUGACCUGUCUGAAUCCUGGAAAAUCUAUGUCUGUUGUGUUUGUCAAAGAUUAUCAUUGCAGCUGCCUGAGCCCGUGGUGGCUCUGGAGACAGAUGAUGACAGAACAACAAAGGAAAAUGCAGAAAAAGAGACUUGUAGAAUGUUUGGGGGACAUAGGAAGAUACACGAGGAGGGCAUGUACAUCUGCAAAGGGUCUACAAAAGGCCUGGUGUUGUUUCCUGGUGCGACGGGUAGUGGAUUAAAAUUGAUCCAAAUUACUUAAAGCUUGGUUUACUUGCUAACUAAUCACAUAAACUAACUGGGCAGGAACUUUAAAUACUAUGCUUUUUAGGUAUUACAGAAACUCCAAGAAAGCAGCACAAAGCCUAUGGAAAAAAAGAAUGGGCUUUUUUACAGAAUUUUCAUUCUGUCUUACACUUUUAAUCCCCAAAUCAUGAGGCACACAAAAAUAAUAAUAAAAUGUGGGCCAUGUGCUAGUGGUGCAGGCAACAAACAGUCAAUAACACCUGUCUCUAAGGGAGUCCAGAUGACCUUCUAUCUGCUACUGCAUUUGAAAGGAGCUAUAGGUCUAAUGAACGAAUGGGGUCAUAGGAGGAUGGUGUCUCACCAAGAAAAGAAAGUCAAUCAGAGAAGAAUAUAAGUAGAAACUCUUGAAUACAAGAACUCAAGGUCCACUAGAGACAGAUUUCAGCAUACAGAGAAAGAAUUAGCAUAUGAAGAUGGGUCAUUAAGAACCAUCUUCCUUAUCCAAGAUACAAAGGUAAUACAGAAUAAGGAGAAAUGUAUGGACACAUAGUGAGAGACCCGUAAAAGAUGGAGAGGAAUACCUAAGAAGAUGUUUUUAAGAAAUACUAUAGGCUAAUGAGAUAGCUCAGCAGAUAAAGGCACUUGCCACUAAGCCUGAUAACCUUUGUUCCAUACCCAGAGGCCAUAUUAUAAGAGCUGACUCCUGCAAGUUCUCUGAACUCCACGUGUAUGCUGGCAAGUGCAUGUGCACACAAUAAGUAAAUACAUUUAUUUAUUUUAAUAAGUAAAGUUAUUUUAAAAUAUUUUUGAAAGAAAAUAUGAGGUGGUGUGUGGCAGCAUGCACCUGUAAUUCCAGCACUUGGGGGAAUAGAGGCAGAAAAAUCAGGAGUUCAAGGCCAAACUCACAUACUUAAUCCAGACCAGUUUGGACAACUUAAGGACUUGUCUCAAAAGAAAGGAAUUUGGCAAAACCAAAUAUGAUAGAAAAAUGUAUAUAUUAAGCUGAAGGAACUAUAAGUGGAAUAAGCUUCAAAAGAGCCACACUUAGGCACAUUAUGAUCAAACUAUUGAAAUUCAAAGAUGACAACAAGAAACUCCUCUCUUGCUACUCAGAACAACUGGGUUAUUCUAAUAGGAACAAAUAGGGAUAGCAAACUCAAAAGAAAGAAGACUGCUAGCCAGGAGUCCUCAACAACUGUACAAAGUGAAUGGGAAGUCAAGGCAUUGUCAGAUUUGGGAAGUUAUACAAGGGACUUACACAUGCUUAGUACAUAGCUCAGAGUAUCUUUGGGUUCUUAGUCCUUUUCCCUCACUCUAUGGCUGUUGGGAUUAUAUGCAUGUACCACUACCCCGGUGUCAUUUCUUUUCGUGUGCAUGUGUGUAUUCAUGUUUAUGUACAUGCCACAGUGCACAUGUAGAAGUUGGAGGGCAACUUUGUAGAGUGUGUUCUCUCCCUUGACUUUUAACGAUGUUUCUAAGGCUUGAACUCAGGUUAGCGGGCUUACGUGGUAAGUGUCCUCAUCCACUGAGCCAUCUCAUCAGCCCCCUAUUGUCAUACUUCUUAAACAACAGAAUUUGUUGCUAACAUGUUCUACAAAAAUACUAAAUUAAUGUGUAUAGUGUGCCUGUCUUUACAAAUAUUUAUAUUAGUAUAAAUAUUUAUUUGAUUGAUUCCUCUGAAAGAAGUCUUAUGUUGUAUCUCAGAAUAUGGGAAGCACUGGGGUCAGACCUCCCAUAUCCAAAUCCUAUAUGUGCCUCUGUAUACCUUGGGACCACCAUACCUUCUCUAUACUUAGUACCUAGUGCCAAGUACCUUAGUACUUAGUGCCAAGGUAGGAAAUAGCCAUGAUGCUUAUCAAAAAGGUAGUGCUAAUGCAAAAUGGAAGAAUACUUGCAGAGUGAUCUCAGGGUUACCAUUCCACAUUGAGGCACCCUGACCUGUAGGAAGGACUGUUGGUUUUAAGAGAACUACUCUUCUUCCAAGACUGAUUUCUUUUCCCAGAAGAUCCCUGUGACUAACAUCAGAAUCAUAUUUAUCACAGGGGAAACUACAGGCAGUUCCCAACACACAUGUCUAAGUAACAUGGUUAAUAGGGGAAAGAGAACAUCAAAAAUGGGAUUUCUUUUUUCUUUAAGGAAAUUCACAUGAAAAUUUCACUGCUCAGGCCAGGUCACACCACCACAGUCUCAAGACACAUGUUCCUUACAAUUGUCCCACAGUACAUAUUGAAGGCACCGGUGUUGUCAGCAUGCGACCUCAGUUCCUAGUUUCCCACCAGAACCCACAUAUGCACAAGACACAUAACACAUACAUUUCACAACAGUCUGGCACACAUUAUGCAAUGUGUCCAUGAACAAUAUAUAAAAUAUGCAUGGAACAUUAUCUAGUACACAUCAGAAACAAUACAACACACAAGAUAUAACACAGAAUCUACAUAGCACAACAUAAAACAGUAUAACUACAACAUAGCGUAUGCACAACACAUCAUAAAUAUAAUACAUAGCCUAGCUGCAACAGCACAGUCAACAUCAUACAAAGCACACCUCAUAAAUAUAAUGUUAUGGCAUACAAUACAGACACUGUAUACCUCACACUUUCAUCUGAAUAACAAUAUGCAUACAGAAUAUUCAACCCAGUAUACACAACACAGUGCAUAUACAUACCACAAAUGAUGUGCAAUAUGCAACACACACAACAUAAUGACACAGAAGCAACCCAGCUUGCAAAACACAUUAUUCACACCAUCUAAUAGUAACAGACAGUUAUAUGGACAUGGUACACAACAUAUUUUGCUGAGCUCUAACAUUAUUCUAAGUCCAAGAGAGGAUUCCUGCUCUUUAUGGCUUUGCUGUCUUGUCCAAGAGCAACAAAGACAUUUAUUUGCUUUAUGUGAAUUUGACAUAAAUCUUAUAGAAUAGCAAACCAACCAAGGCUAAUCUCCAGCCUCCAUACUGAUGGAGAACAAUUGAUGGCCAUUGUUUUCUGAGGUAUGCUCCACCCUUGGCCUUUGAUAUGUGAGUGACUCCAUCUCAGAAUUACAAAUCGUUUUGUUGAGUUUUCCUUCUUGAGAUUCCCUUGUUUUGUGUUUAUUUUUUAUUACUCUGCAUGCAUGCAUGGAUGUGUAGGUCUGAGCAUACCAGGAAAAAAAACAGUCAGUUCUCUUAUGUCACCAGGUGGGUUUUGGGCAUCAGCCUCUGGUCGUCAGAAUUGUUGAGAUCUUGCCUUCCUAGAGGUACAGUUCCGUUUCUCCAUUGUCAGAUCCAAUUUGAUGAGAUUUUAUUGGAUUCAAACUGGUGAUAUUUUGUUAGGAAGUUUUGCCUCUGUUCUUGAGAGCUAUUGUGUACUUGUUAUAAUAUCUCUACCUAGUUUUAGAAUUCCAGUGGGUGUCAUAGAAUGAGUUGGAAAGUAUAUGCUCUGUUUCUGUCCUCUGAAAGAAUUUUAGGGAAUAUGUGUAGUUCCUUCUUGGAAUAUUUGGUAGAAUAUGAUUGACACCUUGGUUAUGGACUGUUGAUUCAUUUUACUUAAUAGAUGCAAAGAUUUUAUAUUCCUAUAUAAAUUUUUACAGAUGAUGUCUUAAAAAUUGGCUUACUGUGUCAUAGGUUAUCACUAGUUUUUUUUUUUCUCUUUCAGGUUCAUAAGUUCAGUAGUGAUAUUUCCUCUUAACCUUCUGAUAUUAGCAAUUUGUGAUGCAUAACUUAGUCAUUUUGGCAAAAGACUAUAAAUUUUUUUAGAUCAAGAUAAUUCUGUUGCUUGAUUUCUUGUUUAUUUCACUAGUCUUUUAUGGCUUCAUUGUUUGGUUUCUGAUUGAGGUAAGGUAAAACGUGUGGUGCCAAUUGUACACCCGUCUGUUCUUGCAUAUGUGUUAAAGUUUGGGUAUAGGGCUGGAGAGAUGGCUCAGAGGUUGAAUGCACUCACUAUGCUUCCAAAGGUCCUGAGUUCAAUUCCCAGCAACCAUAUGGCAGCUCACAACCAUCUGUAAUGUGAUCUUGGCAACCUCUUCUGGAGUGUAGGCAGAACACUGUACAUAGUAAAUAAAUAAAUCUUUAAAGCUUGAGUGUAAAUAGUUAUAUUAAUUUAAUGUCACUGUGACCACAAUGCCUGACUUUUGGUGAGUAUUUGAAUGGUAUUUUUCCAUACAUUUAAUACCAGAACUCGUGAGAUAGAUAAAAUGACCCAACUAUCCUCAACAAUAUUUGUUAAAAAUAAGGUCCUGUUAAGUAAUAUAAAAUACUGUUAGAACACUGUGGCUGUUAAUGAUAGACCUUUAUUUUUAAGCACCAGCUUUAAUGUUAAUUUUUCAUUUAAAUAAGCUAAGGUGUUGGAGAGCCAGGCUCAUGUGAAUCCUUGCAGCUGGUAGACUCUUUACUGGACUGCCUGGAACAGGAGACUAUCAGCCCAACAACGAGCCAGGUGUAUGCUUUGAACACUCAUCAGAUGCUCUGAAGAAGCUGCGCUGCAACCAUAGCUGCUCUCUGCAGAAGCACAACUCCAGCUCUAGAAGAUACUAUUCCAUCCAUGACUGUGGCUUCUACUGGACCAACUUUAUGACCAUCAUAAGUCUCAGUGAAAUCCAGGCCACGGGAUCCCCUCCCCUGGUGGCACAUCCCAAAGCCUACGAAUGAUACUUACACAGUUCUCCACUUGUAUGAACUUGGCAUACUUUUCUUUUCCUGGUUCUAUAAUCAGACUGUUCAGUUCAUUUUUAAAGUAAGCUGGGGGAUAUCCUCUUGUGCUAUCUCUCACUGUUGCACAUUAAACCUAUUUACAGGUA
Molecule: long non-coding RNA, 6821 nt
Organism: Mus musculus (house mouse)
Lineage: Eukaryota; Metazoa; Chordata; Mammalia; Rodentia; Muridae
Product: RIKEN cDNA 2310058N22 gene
Exons: 1
Source: RefSeq, marked validated